Molecule: long non-coding RNA, 214 nt
Filed under: Elaeis guineensis (African oil palm)
Lineage: Eukaryota; Viridiplantae; Streptophyta; Magnoliopsida; Arecales; Arecaceae
Description: long non-coding RNA (EGUI_LNC034912)
Source: RNAcentral
CCUAAUUUUAUUUUAUCUUAAUCUUAAAUCUAUAAGGGAUCUUGGUAUUUUGAGAUGUGAUCUUAUGCAUGCAUAUAUGAUUAAAAUAGUUUUAAUCUAUUUUUUCUACUAUAUUUUAAAAUUUUAAUAUUGCAUACUAUCGAAUUUUCUAAUAGUGGCACUAGAGCCACCCUCAUAUGAUUAAGAUUAGGAUCUUAAAUAUGAAAAUAUUGAU